CAGAUGAAUAUCUCCUUCUCAGCCACUGGCUGCCAGAAAUUCACUGAAGUGGCUGAUCAACGCAAAUUCAUACUUUUUAUGACAAGCACAUGGCCACAGAAGUAGCUGCUGAUGCUCUGGGUGAAGAAUGGAAGGAUUAUGUAGUCCACAUCAGUGGUAGGAAUGACAAACAAGGUUUUCCCAUGAAGCAGGAUGUCUUGGCCCAUGACCAUGUCCACCUGCUACUGAGUACAGGGCAUUCCUGUUAUACAGCCAGAAGAACUGGAGAAAGAAAGUGUAAAGCUGUUCAGGAUUGCAUUGUGGAUGUCAAUCUAAAUGUUCUCAAUUGACUUAUUGUAAAAAAGGGAGAGAAGGAUGUUCCUGGACUGACUGACACCAUGACGCCUCAUCACUUGGGGCCCAAAAGAGCUAGCAGAAUCCACAAACUUUUCAAUCUCUCUAAAAAAAGAUGAUGUCCAACAAUAUGUGGUAAGAAAGGCCUUUAACAAAGAAGGUAAGCCUAGGACCAACACACCCAAGAUUCAGCAUCUUGUUACUCCAAAUGUCUUACAACAUAAAUGCUGCUAUGUUGCUCUGCAGAAACAGUAUACUAUAGAACAUGCUAAACUUUUGGCCAAAAGAAUGAAGGAGGCCAAAAAAAUAUGCCAGGAGCAGAUUUUCAAGAAAAGCAGCCUGUCCUCUCCAAGAGCGUCUACUUCUGAGUCC
RNAcentral lists this long non-coding RNA (705 nucleotides) under Homo sapiens (human). RNAcentral describes it as "non-protein coding lnc-PLEKHA3-17:1". The record is from RNAcentral. Lineage: Eukaryota; Metazoa; Chordata; Mammalia; Primates; Hominidae.